AUCCGAAGAAGAUGAAAAAGUCAUAAAAAAGCCAAAAGUUAGUUCUAAUCCUUUGACCUUAAAUACGCCGAAUGACGUAAAUUUACUUGCUCUGUCCACUAUUGAAGUAAUAAAAGUACCAGAGAAAGAAAAAGAAGUAAUGCAAGAUCAGAACACAAAAUCUCUUGAUCAGUAUAAUGCACCUUCAUUUAAAUCGCCCACAUCAUGGUAUACUUCAGACACAAUUAA
Daktulosphaira vitifoliae (grape phylloxera) is the source of this 228-nucleotide long non-coding RNA. RefSeq lists it as uncharacterized. NCBI's taxonomy places the organism in Eukaryota, Metazoa, Arthropoda, Insecta, Hemiptera, Phylloxeridae. The transcript is spliced from 3 exons. The record is from RefSeq and is a predicted model, not a curated record.